Homo sapiens (human) is the source of this 774-nucleotide long non-coding RNA. Ensembl annotates it as NDUFA6 divergent transcript. Its record names the gene NDUFA6-DT. The record is from Ensembl. Lineage: Eukaryota; Metazoa; Chordata; Mammalia; Primates; Hominidae.
GGACUACACCAUCUGUCGCUCGCUCUAACGAGCCGGCGUUGCCGCCAGGGGACGCUCGGGCCGCAGGAGGUCGCUGGGUCGUGAGCUGGCGCCGGGGACGCCGAGCGACUGCGGGGUUUCCCUCAGCGUCCUGCUAUCCGGCUGCCCGCCGCGCUCCUUGGUAGUGUCCGUGGGCGCGCAGGCCUUGAAGAACCUCCUCGUGGCGGGACCCCGAGCGCAGGAGAGGUGUCAAAGAGCUGGCGCGUCUCCAGAGCCCCGGGAGGAAGGCUGUAACGGCAGCCCCAUCGUAGACAGGGACAUUCGCAUCCCGAGCCCUGGAUCUCUGAAAACCAGCCCAGAAUUUGGAAGCUGGAAGGAACUUUAGAUCGUCCAUUCUGAGUGUCUCUCUUCGCUGGCGUUUUCCCACUGAGGUUAUGUAAACAUGAAGAGGAGCCUACAAGUGUCAAGGAAAAAACGACAGCUAACCACAGGGCAGGCCAUGGGCAAGAUAUCUCAGUGUUCUCCGCUCUCAUAGGUCAGGUCACGACCCCCAGGAGACCUGGAGGACUGAAUGCUGCUGCCCCCAAGGAGGAGGCUGCCGUCUUAUCCCAGGAGGGAGAGCAGAACCUGCCUGAUCUCACUGCUGGAUCCCUCUUCUUCCUGCCAGGAAAAUAAAAAGGUUCAAAAGGAAGUUGCUGCGUAUCCAUCUGAGGCCUCUGAGGACAGCAAAGAGCAAAGGCCCUGGGACCGGGUCUACGUGCCCAUGACAGAGCUCUGGCUGGACUGGUUCUGAGC